RNAcentral lists this ribosomal RNA (200 nucleotides) under uncultured bacterium. Its description in RNAcentral is "partial 16S ribosomal RNA". It matches the Rfam family "Bacterial small subunit ribosomal RNA", at positions 30 to 232 of the family's 1533-position model. The record is from RNAcentral.
AUUGAACGCUGGCGGCAGGCCUAACACAUGCAAGUCGAGCGCGAAAGUUCUUCGGAAUGAGUAAAGCGGCGGACGGGUGAGUAAUACAUGGGAAUCUGCCUGGUAGUGGGGGACAACGUUUCGAAAGGAGCGCUAAUACCGCAUACGCCCUACGGGGGAAAGGGGGGGAGUCUUCGGACCUCUCGCUAUCAGAUGAGCCC